This 2325-nucleotide ribosomal RNA is filed under the name Escherichia coli. RNAcentral's name for it is "partial 23S ribosomal RNA". It matches the Rfam family "Bacterial large subunit ribosomal RNA", at positions 552 to 2857 of the family's 2925-position model. The record is from RNAcentral. Lineage: Bacteria; Pseudomonadati; Pseudomonadota; Gammaproteobacteria; Enterobacterales; Enterobacteriaceae.
GAAACCGUGUACGUACAAGCAGUGGGAGCACGCUUAGGCGUGUGACUGCGUACCUUUUGUAUAAUGGGUCAGCGACUUAUAUUCUGUAGCAAGGUUAACCGAAUAGGGGAGCCGAAGGGAAACCGAGUCUUAACUGGGCGUUAAGUUGCAGGGUAUAGACCCGAAACCCGGUGAUCUAGCCAUGGGCAGGUUGAAGGUUGGGUAACACUAACUGGAGGACCGAACCGACUAAUGUUGAAAAAUUAGCGGAUGACUUGUGGCUGGGGGUGAAAGGCCAAUCAAACCGGGAGAUAGCUGGUUCUCCCCGAAAGCUAUUUAGGUAGCGCCUCGUGAAUUCAUCUCCGGGGGUAGAGCACUGUUUCGGCAAGGGGGUCAUCCCGACUUACCAACCCGAUGCAAACUGCGAAUACCGGAGAAUGUUAUCACGGGAGACACACGGCGGGUGCUAACGUCCGUCGUGAAGAGGGAAACAACCCAGACCGCCAGCUAAGGUCCCAAAGUCAUGGUUAAGUGGGAAACGAUGUGGGAAGGCCCAGACAGCCAGGAUGUUGGCUUAGAAGCAGCCAUCAUUUAAAGAAAGCGUAAUAGCUCACUGGUCGAGUCGGCCUGCGCGGAAGAUGUAACGGGGCUAAACCAUGCACCGAAGCUGCGGCAGCGACGCUUAUGCGUUGUUGGGUAGGGGAGCGUUCUGUAAGCCUGCGAAGGUGUGCUGUGAGGCAUGCUGGAGGUAUCAGAAGUGCGAAUGCUGACAUAAGUAACGAUAAAGCGGGUGAAAAGCCCGCUCGCCGGAAGACCAAGGGUUCCUGUCCAACGUUAAUCGGGGCAGGGUGAGUCGACCCCUAAGGCGAGGCCGAAAGGCGUAGUCGAUGGGAAACAGGUUAAUAUUCCUGUACUUGGUGUUACUGCGAAGGGGGGACGGAGAAGGCUAUGUUGGCCGGGCGACGGUUGUCCCGGUUUAAGCGUGUAGGCUGGUUUUCCAGGCAAAUCCGGAAAAUCAAGGCUGAGGCGUGAUGACGAGGCACUACGGUGCUGAAGCAACAAAUGCCAUGCUUCCAGGAAAAGCCUCUAAGCAUCAGGUAACAUCAAAUCGUACCCCAAACCGACACAGGUGGUCAGGUAGAGAAUACCAAGGCGCUUGAGAGAACUCGGGUGAAGGAACUAGGCAAAAUGGUGCCGUAACUUCGGGAGAAGGCACGCUGAUAUGUAGGUGAAGCGACUUGCUCGUGGAGCUGAAAUCAGUCGAAGAUACCAGCUGGCUGCAACUGUUUAUUAAAAACACAGCACUGUGCAAACACGAAAGUGGACGUAUACGGUGUGACGCCUGCCCGGUGCCGGAAGGUUAAUUGAUGGGGUCAGCGCAAGCGAAGCUCUUGAUCGAAGCCCCGGUAAACGGCGGCCGUAACUAUAACGGUCCUAAGGUAGCGAAAUUCCUUGUCGGGUAAGUUCCGACCUGCACGAAUGGCGUAAUGAUGGCCAGGCUGUCUCCACCCGAGACUCAGUGAAAUUGAACUCGCUGUGAAGAUGCAGUGUACCCGCGGCAAGACGGAAAGACCCCGUGAACCUUUACUAUAGCUUGACACUGAACAUUGAGCCUUGAUGUGUAGGAUAGGUGGGAGGCUUUGAAGUGUGGACGCCAGUCUGCAUGGAGCCGACCUUGAAAUACCACCCUUUAAUGUUUGAUGUUCUAACGUUGACCCGUAAUCCGGGUUGCGGACAGUGUCUGGUGGGUAGUUUGACUGGGGCGGUCUCCUCCUAAAGAGUAACGGAGGAGCACGAAGGUUGGCUAAUCCUGGUCGGACAUCAGGAGGUUAGUGCAAUGGCAUAAGCCAGCUUGACUGCGAGCGUGACGGCGCGAGCAGGUGCGAAAGCAGGUCAUAGUGAUCCGGUGGUUCUGAAUGGAAGGGCCAUCGCUCAACGGAUAAAAGGUACUCCGGGGAUAACAGGCUGAUACCGCCCAAGAGUUCAUAUCGACGGCGGUGUUUGGCACCUCGAUGUCGGCUCAUCACAUCCUGGGGCUGAAGUAGGUCCCAAGGGUAUGGCUGUUCGCCAUUUAAAGUGGUACGCGAGCUGGGUUUAGAACGUCGUGAGACAGUUCGGUCCCUAUCUGCCGUGGGCGCUGGAGAACUGAGGGGGGCUGCUCCUAGUACGAGAGGACCGGAGUGGACGCAUCACUGGUGUUCGGGUUGUCAUGCCAAUGGCACUGCCCGGUAGCUAAAUGCGGAAGAGAUAAGUGCUGAAAGCAUCUAAGCACGAAACUUGCCCCGAGAUGAGUUCUCCCUGACUCCUUGAGAGUCCUGAAGGAACGUUGAAGACGACGACGUUGAU